GUCUAAGGCCAAGCCACCCCGAAUGAGCCUGAUGUCUAAUCUUGGAAGCUAAGCAGGGUCAGGCCUGGUUAGUACUUGGAUGGGAGACCACCUCGGAUGACCAGGUGCUGUAGGCA
RNAcentral lists this ribosomal RNA (116 nucleotides) under Pteropus alecto (black flying fox). Lineage: Eukaryota; Metazoa; Chordata; Mammalia; Chiroptera; Pteropodidae. The record is from RNAcentral.